RNAcentral lists this long non-coding RNA (504 nucleotides) under Hordeum vulgare. RNAcentral's name for it is "long non-coding RNA (HVUL_LNC018305)". Lineage: Eukaryota; Viridiplantae; Streptophyta; Magnoliopsida; Poales; Poaceae. The record is from RNAcentral.
GUCCUGCACCGGAGGCCCCUCUCAAGGGACCAGUAGAAGCUGCUCGAUGACAGCUCCCCCGUUGUCGUCGUGUACAUCAUUGAGAACCAGGGGAAGGCGAGGCUCGAUGACAAUGACGAUGACCGCCGCAGGCAGGCUCAUGAAGCCGAGGCCCUAGCAUGCGCCUCUGGUGGCGAAGCCGCGAGCAGCGCUUGGAUAAUCGACUCCAUAGCAGCUUGCAAGCUGCAGCCCCUGUGACUGAGCUGGAAGAAGGCCCCUCUCAAUGUUUGCUUCAGCGUGCUCGGUGGGACAAGUAGUAAGCAGAAAAAUAAAUCCAGGAUGGCACUGAACCCAAGUGCUUAGUUUUUAUUUUUUUGUUUUUGUGCAAGUGCAAGUGCUUAGUUUUAUACCGUGUCAUGUAAAUUAUAAGAGUAACAUUUUGUUUUUUUUCUUGUUAAAGAGUUUAACCUAUCAUUCCAUUUAAAGAGAUUUCAUGCUCCACAAGUGCCGUGGUGUGAAUUGUAN